Molecule: long non-coding RNA, 370 nt
Filed under: Sorghum bicolor (sorghum)
Lineage: Eukaryota; Viridiplantae; Streptophyta; Magnoliopsida; Poales; Poaceae
Description: long non-coding RNA (SBIC_LNC004102)
Source: RNAcentral
GCCACCAUGAUCCCCUGCCUUGGCCUUGUUCUUCUUGCCUCUAUUGGGGUGUCAGUGAUGCUCUGCUUGUUCCUUGGAUGUCCCAGUGGCUUCCUUCUUCUUCUUCUUAUUAUUAUUAUCGAAGGACCACCACUGCUUAGCGGUGUAGAGGAGCUUCCCGGAAGCUAGCUUCACCUCUGGUGCACGCUCGCAAUCCUAGACCGCCUUUAGAUGCUCGGUAACAUCCUCGACCGAGAGUUGCCUAAAGUUUAACAGAGUCUCGAUGGAGAGCACCAUCUGAUCAUACUUCUUCGUCAUGCAUCUGAUAAACUUCUCCGUGGUGUGCUUGUCAUCGAGAUCGGUGUCACCAUUAUAGGCCAUUUGCUCCAUG